This 253-nucleotide ribosomal RNA is filed under the name uncultured bacterium. RNAcentral's name for it is "partial 16S ribosomal RNA". It matches the Rfam family "Bacterial small subunit ribosomal RNA", at positions 524 to 776 of the family's 1533-position model. The record is from RNAcentral.
UACGGGGGGGGCGAGCGUUGUUCGGAAUUACUGGGCGUAAAGGGCUCGUAGGUGGCCAACUAAGUCAGACGUGAAAUCCCUCGGCUUAACCGGGGAACUGCGUCUGAUACUGGAUGGCUUGAGUUUGGGAGAGGGAUGCGGAAUUCCAGGUGUAGCGGUGAAAUGCGUAGAUAUCUGGAGGAACACCGGUGGCGAAGGCGGCAUCCUGGACCAACACUGACACUGAGGAGCGAAAGCCAGGGGAGCAAACGGG